UCCGGGGUAGCUCAAUCGGCAGAGCGCUCGGCUGUUAACCGAAUGGUUGUGGGUUCGAGUCCCACCCCCGGAG
Molecule: transfer RNA, 73 nt
Filed under: Solirubrobacterales bacterium
Lineage: Bacteria; Bacillati; Actinomycetota; Thermoleophilia; Solirubrobacterales
Description: tRNA-Asn
Rfam family: tRNA
About the family: Transfer RNA (tRNA) molecules are approximately 80 nucleotides in length. Their secondary structure includes four short double-helical elements and three loops (D, anti-codon, and T loops). Further hydrogen bonds mediate the characteristic L-shaped molecular structure. tRNAs have two regions of fundamental functional importance: the anti-codon, which is responsible for specific mRNA codon recognition, and the 3' end, to which the tRNAs corresponding amino acid is attached (by aminoacyl-tRNA synthetases). tRNAs cope with the degeneracy of the genetic code in two manners: having more than one tRNA (with a specific anti-codon) for a particular amino acid; and 'wobble' base-pairing, i.e. permitting non-standard base-pairing at the 3rd anti-codon position.
Source: RNAcentral